UUAUGGUGCUGAUGGUGGUGCUGUGAGAAAAAUAUUGGUGUUCAAGUUAAUCAAGUGAUGAAAGGGAGAGAGACACUGGUGGGAGGAAGAGAUAAAAACAAGAGACUGGUAGGAAUAAGCAGUGGUAAAAGAAAAAAACAUGUUGUUAUGACUGUGAACGUGGAAAAUCUGCGUGCGGGAUUUUAGCAUGAGUUCCUAAAGUGUGAGGGUGAAGAAGAUGAUGAGUUGUUUGCAUUAGGAGGCAAGUGAAAGUGAAAAUCGUAGCUAUGUUAUUGCUAUAUCUAUUGUCUGAAAAGUUGCGAUCU
Long non-coding RNA from Glycine soja, 305 nucleotides. RefSeq lists it as uncharacterized. The transcript has 2 exons. Lineage: Eukaryota; Viridiplantae; Streptophyta; Magnoliopsida; Fabales; Fabaceae. The record is from RefSeq and is a predicted model, not a curated record.